AUAGCUCAGCUGGAUAGAGCACUUGGCUACGAACUAAGGGGUCGGGAGUUCGAAUCUCUCU
Molecule: transfer RNA, 61 nt
Filed under: Acinetobacter baumannii
Lineage: Bacteria; Pseudomonadati; Pseudomonadota; Gammaproteobacteria; Moraxellales; Moraxellaceae
Also listed under: 1 other name
Description: tRNA-Arg
Rfam family: tRNA
About the family: Transfer RNA (tRNA) molecules are approximately 80 nucleotides in length. Their secondary structure includes four short double-helical elements and three loops (D, anti-codon, and T loops). Further hydrogen bonds mediate the characteristic L-shaped molecular structure. tRNAs have two regions of fundamental functional importance: the anti-codon, which is responsible for specific mRNA codon recognition, and the 3' end, to which the tRNAs corresponding amino acid is attached (by aminoacyl-tRNA synthetases). tRNAs cope with the degeneracy of the genetic code in two manners: having more than one tRNA (with a specific anti-codon) for a particular amino acid; and 'wobble' base-pairing, i.e. permitting non-standard base-pairing at the 3rd anti-codon position.
Source: RNAcentral